Molecule: long non-coding RNA, 740 nt
Organism: Hordeum vulgare subsp. vulgare (domesticated barley)
Lineage: Eukaryota; Viridiplantae; Streptophyta; Magnoliopsida; Poales; Poaceae
Exons: 4
Source: RefSeq, a predicted model, not a curated record
UACCACCGAGGACCCCCCGUAAAGUGUUGCCUUACCACACCUCGCCUCCCACGAUCUGUUUCUCCACGACCAGCACCGCCGCUUCCCUGAUCCACUUCGACUCCGGCACCGGUGCUGGCGCCUUCGCAAUCCCCUUCGAGGCCCUCUCCGUCUCCCCUCGAUCCUCUCCUCCUCGUCCAGCUACGCCGACGCCUGGUAGCCAUCGCCGCCGCCCUUGGUCGCCGCCCGAGCUCGCCAUCGCUGCCACCAUUGGUCGCUGCCCCUAGCUCGCCCUUGUCGCCGGACUGUCCGCUGCAAGAUAUGUUUAAAAAGAAAAGGAAAGAUCAACAUUGGGUAAGAUCCGAUAUUGAGGGAACAAUUGUGGAUGCUACUUCUAAUGCUUUGAUCGAUGAAGAAUAGUGGAGGGAAAUCAUAUAAAGAUCGUUGGCUGAGCUUACACCCUUCAAAAACUCGAAAGAAUGAGGAUUUAACAAGAGCAGCAGAUCAUCGUCAUCAUCCAGCGUGUGUGCGUGAAGUUAUUUUUUACACGAGUGCUAGACUCGGACAAUAAGCCGCUCUGGUGGCGACGACAACAGCAGCAGACAGCAAAAAUGUACAUACAUAUUCGUAGCAUGUUCACAGCAGGUCCUCAUCAUAUUUGAGAUUCUGUUACUCUUUACAUACAAACAGUUUUGUAUAAACGUCCAUGGUUUUUCUUGAUAUAUAUUUAUAAUAUCAAUGAGCGAGUUAUCAAGAUCCAA